This 462-nucleotide ribosomal RNA is filed under the name uncultured bacterium. RNAcentral's name for it is "partial 16S ribosomal RNA". It matches the Rfam family "Bacterial small subunit ribosomal RNA", at positions 355 to 811 of the family's 1533-position model. The record is from RNAcentral.
UGGGGAAUCUUCCGCAAUGGACGAAAGUCUGACGGAGCAACGCCGCGUGUAUGAUGAAGGUCUUCGGAUUGUAAAGUACUGUCAUUGGGGAAGAACGGUUUUCUUGAAAGAUUGAGAAGACAUGACGGUACCCAAGGAGGAAGCCCCGGCUAACUACGUGCCAGCAGCCGCGGUAAUACGUAGGGGGCAAGCGUUGUCCGGAAUUAUUGGGCGUAAGGGCGCGUAGGCGGGCCUUUAAGUCCGGUGUGAAAGAUCAGGGCUCAACCCUGAGAGUGCAUCGGAAACUGGAGGCCUUGAGGACAGGAGAGGAAAGUGGAAUUCCACGUGUAGCGGUGAAAUGCGUAGAUAUGUGGAGGAACACCAGUGGCGAAGGCGACUUUCUGGACGUAACUGACGCUGAGGCGCGAAAGCGUGGGGGAGCAAACAGGUUAGAUACCCUGGUAGUCCACGCCGUAAACGAUG